AAAUUACCCAAUCCUGACACAGGGAGGUAGUGACAAUAAAUAACAAUGCCGGGCCUUUCUAGGUCUGGCAAUUGGAAUGAGAACGAUUUAAAUCCCCUAUCGAGGAUCAAUUGGAGGGCAAGUCUGGUGCCAGCAGCCGCGGUAAUUCCAGCUCCAAUAGCGUAUAUUAAAGUUGUUGCAGUUAAAAAGCUCGUAGUUGGAUUUCUGGUGGGAGCGAUCGGUCCGACGCUAUGCGUGGGUACUCGUAUUGUCUCCGGCCAUCCUUGGGUGGAGCCUGUCUGGCAUUAAGUUGUUGGGCAGGGGAUGCCCAUCGUUUACUGUGAAAAAAUUAGAGUGUUCAAAGCAGGCUUAUGCCGUUGAAUAUAUUAGCAUGGAAUAAUAAGAUAGGACCUCGGUACUAUUUUGUUGGUUUGUGUGCCAAGGUAAUGAUUAAUAGGGACAGUUGGGGGUAUUCGUAUUCAGUUGUCAGAGGUGAAAUUCUUGGAUUUACGGAAGACGAACUACUGCGAAAGCAUUUACCAAGGAUGUUUUCAUUAGUCAAGAACGAAAGUUAGGGGAUCGAAGAUGAUUAGAUGCCAUCGUAGUCUUAACCAUAAACUAUGCCGUCUAGGGAUUGGCGGUCGCUCUUAU
This 630-nucleotide ribosomal RNA is filed under the name uncultured marine Mediophyceae. RNAcentral's name for it is "SSU rRNA". It matches the Rfam family "Eukaryotic small subunit ribosomal RNA", at positions 438 to 1069 of the family's 1831-position model. Lineage: Eukaryota; Bacillariophyta; Thalassiosirophyceae. The record is from RNAcentral.